AAUCUGCAGCACAAAUGUUGAAUAAAUUUUUAUAUAUUUACUUUGAUGAUAUGUUUUUUUAAUAUGUUUUCAAUAUAUGUUUUAGUGAUGCAUCCCGAGCCAUUUCUGAUUUAAGAUCUCAUAGUAGACUGAAAGUGAAAAUAGGAGGCAAAAAGGGAACUUCAAAUGCAGAGCAAAGCAGAAUUAUUUUGUGCCCUGUAUGUUCAUUUGGAUUCACUGAUCUUAAAGCUGCUGAAAAUCAUGUAAACAGUUGUAUUGAUAAAGCACAAUAGACAGAAUGUUCUUACCAUCUCCAUUAUUUUAUUAUUAAUUAAGUAAUCUUUCUAAAAGAUAUGUAUUAUGUAUACGUUUUAUUUUAUACUAGCUUCCAUUGCCUUUUAAUUAUUAUGGUAAAAAUAUAUUUUCAUAUCAGUUACUAUGUAUUUUUAAAGGGAUUAUAGUGUUUAGGAAGAACAUAACAAAAAAUAUUUUUGUUUAUUUUAUUGAACAAGUCUUUCCUUGUAAUGUAUUUAGAGAAAUAUAAAAGAGGUAUAAACUUAAGCAUUUUAAUAACCUCAUUGUUAUUGUUAAAUGCUAAAACAAAAAUGUAUUUGUUUUCUUGAAGAAUCAGUUGUUGUUUUUUCAUGAAUUUAUAAAUGAACUUUUGUGCCAAAUAAAUAAUUUAUAAUAUUCUUUUUGACUAUAAAUUUGAACACAUAAACAGAAUUUUGUACAACGGUUUACAGAAUUUUGAGUAUUUAAAAUUAUUAAAAAUAAAGUAUUAAGUAAAUUUUCAAUAUUAAAUCUAAAUAAGCCCUGCUUCAUGCAUAUUUAAAAGUUGUAUAAUCCUUCCAGUUGCUUUUGCAUUAUGCAAAAAUGCCUUUGUGCUUUAUAUGCCGAUGUUCAUGUAAAAUAUUCACCUAUUCUUUGCAGUUUGUAAAAUAAUGCCAUUUGAUUAAUGAUUUAUAGCUUGAUUCAUGUGUAAUAAACAUUAUGUAAUACUUUACUUUUGCUAUUAAAAUGUGAACACAAAACUUGGAAU
Long non-coding RNA from Stegodyphus dumicola, 1021 nucleotides. NCBI's taxonomy places the organism in Eukaryota, Metazoa, Arthropoda, Arachnida, Araneae, Eresidae. The record is from RefSeq and is a predicted model, not a curated record.